CCUACGGGCGGCAGCAGUGGGGAAUAUUGCACAAUGGGGGAAACCCUGAUGCAGCGACGCCGCGGGAGUGAAGAAGGAUUUCGGGAGGUAAAGCUCUAUCAGCAGGGAAGAAGAAAGACGGUACCUGACGAAGAAGCCCCGGCUAACUACGUGCCAGCAGCUGCGGUAAUACGUAGGGGGCAAGCGUUAUCCGGAUUUACUGGGGGUAAAGGGAGCGUAGACGGCUGGGCAAGUCUGAAGUGAAAGCCCAGGGCUCAACCCUGGGACUGCUUUGGAAACUGGGGAGCUAGGGUGCUGGAGGGUUCAGUGGACUUCCUCGUGUAGCGGUGCCAUGCGUCUAUAUUAGGAG
Molecule: ribosomal RNA, 349 nt
Filed under: uncultured bacterium
Lineage: Bacteria
Description: partial 16S ribosomal RNA
Rfam family: Bacterial small subunit ribosomal RNA
Source: RNAcentral